CAGCAAGAUCCGAAAAUCUUAUCUGCUGCAUCUAAUGGGGAUCCAUUUUUUUAUGAUGAUGGGGACGGAAUCACUGCGCUCAAACCAUUGGUUCGCGUUUCCGAAGGAGGUAAUCGAUGGCCAAGACAAGAGACUUUGGCACUCUUGAAAAUAAGGUCGGAUAUGGACAUGGUAUUUCGAGAUGCCAGUGUAAAGGGUCCCUUGUGGGAAGAGGUUUCCAGGAAGCUAGCAGAGUGUGGUUAUAAUCGAAGCGCCAAGAAAUGCAAAGAGAAGUUCGUGAAUGUGUACAAGUACCACAAGAGAAUCCAAGAAGGACGAGCUGUUAAAUAAGAAGACAAAAUGUAUUAAUUUUUUAAUCAAUUAGAAACGUUUGAGAGUCAUGCUUCUUCUUCACCUUCAUCACCACCACCAACGCAACUGCAACUGCAAUUGUAGCAGGUGAAGCCUCAAACUCCAGUGGUGACAACCGUAGCAAUGCCAGUGGUUAAUCCUCUGGUUCUCAAUGUUGGUGCAUCUCCUAUUGGAAUUCAUUUAGUUAUUUUUGAUGGAAUAGUUCUAAUAGGAGAUGCACCAACAUUGAGAACCA
Molecule: unclassified non-coding RNA, 586 nt
Filed under: Hevea brasiliensis (rubber tree)
Lineage: Eukaryota; Viridiplantae; Streptophyta; Magnoliopsida; Malpighiales; Euphorbiaceae
Source: RNAcentral